Molecule: unclassified non-coding RNA, 265 nt
Filed under: air metagenome
Description: partial contains small subunit ribosomal RNA, internal transcribed spacer 1, and 5.8S ribosomal RNA
Rfam family: Eukaryotic small subunit ribosomal RNA (bases 1-46)
Source: RNAcentral
AAGUCGUAACAAGGUUUCCGUAGGUGAACCUGCGGAAGGAUCAUUAACGAGUUUUGAAAUGGGUUGUUGCUGGCCUUCCGAGGCAUGUGCACGCCCUGCUCAUCCACUCUACACCUGUGCACUUACUGUAGGUUGGCGUGGGUUUCUAGCCUCCGGGCUGGGAGCAUUCUGCCGGCCUAUGUACACUACAAACUCUAAAGUAUCAGAAUGUAAACGCGUCUAACGCAUCUUAAUACAACUUUCAGCAACGGAUCUCUUGGCUCUC